This 119-nucleotide ribosomal RNA is filed under the name Trifolium pratense (red clover). Lineage: Eukaryota; Viridiplantae; Streptophyta; Magnoliopsida; Fabales; Fabaceae. The record is from RNAcentral.
AGGUGCGAUCAUACCAGCACUAAUGCACCGGAUCCCAUCAGAACUCCGCAGUUAAGCGUGCUUGGGCGAGAGUAGUACUAGGAUGGGUGACCUCCUGAGAAGUCAUUGUGUUGCACCUC